Molecule: long non-coding RNA, 364 nt
Organism: Mauremys mutica (yellowpond turtle)
Lineage: Eukaryota; Metazoa; Chordata; Testudines; Geoemydidae
Exons: 3
Source: RefSeq, a predicted model, not a curated record
UGGCACCCACCUGCCUGGGCAGAGGCUGCGGGACGGUGUGUGGGGGUCAGGGAGCCCCAGCUGUGCGGAUCCCAGGGGUGCCCUGGACAAAGCCGGUGCUGCCACUGCUCAUGUCAAUCUAAGUACAUGUAGGCCCGUGCGAAUCGAAACGGGGACACCGAAAGCGGAUCCCGCGGCGCCGGCGGACCUGGGCACGGACCGCGGGUCGCCUGUUCCCAGAGUCACAUACCAGACCGACUGCUCUGUGAAAGUGAAGGAGCGGGAACCCGGCUUGGGCCACGAACACCCAGUCUCACUGGUAAGUAACUGCACUGGGUGAGCUCCCAAAGAGGAGCAGCUGGAGCAUGUGUAUGGGUGAGGGUCC